AAGAGCCUGAGAGAAAAGGACACUGCAUAUAUCACAGAGAGAUGCAUAGGUGUUACACUCAGAAAGAGAGUGAACAACUAGAAGAUGUGGAAGGCAAGCUUUUUAGUAUUAAAAGGGCUUAGAAUAUAAACUGACACCUUGAAGAAGUGACCAUCUUGUAAUCAACACUUUAUUCUAAGGAUAACAGAGAUAAAUCAUAUAAGGAUCUCUGUUUCUUAAUGGCAUUGUUGAGCCCUAAACAUU
RNAcentral lists this long non-coding RNA (243 nucleotides) under Pan troglodytes (chimpanzee). RNAcentral describes it as "long non-coding RNA NONPTRT000309". Lineage: Eukaryota; Metazoa; Chordata; Mammalia; Primates; Hominidae. The record is from RNAcentral.